RNAcentral lists this ribosomal RNA (468 nucleotides) under uncultured bacterium. RNAcentral describes it as "partial 16S ribosomal RNA". It matches the Rfam family "Bacterial small subunit ribosomal RNA", at positions 28 to 507 of the family's 1533-position model. The record is from RNAcentral.
GACGAACGCUGGCGGCGUGCUUAACACAUGCAAGUCGAACGGAAAGGCCCUGCUUUUGUGGGGUGCUCGAGUGGCGAACGGGUGAGUAACACGUGAGUAACCUGCCCUUGACUUUGGGAUAACUUCAGGAAACUGGGGCUAAUACCGGAUAGGAGCUCCUGCUGCAUGGUGGGGGUUGGAAAGUUUCGGCGGUUGGGGAUGGACUCGCGGCUUAUCAGCUUGUUGGUGGGGUAGUGGCUUACCAAGGCUUUGACGGGUAGCCGGCCUGAGGGGGUGACCGGCCACAUUGGGACUGAGAUACGGCCCAGACUCCUACGGGAGGCAGCAGUGGGGAAUAUUGCACAAUGGGCGGAAGCCUGAUGCAGCAACUCCGCGUGCGGGAUGACGGCCUUCGGGUUGUAAACCGCUUUCGCCUGUGACGAAGCGUGAGUGACGGUAAUGGGUAAAGAAGCACCGGCUAACUACGUG